CCUACGGGGCGCAGCAGUGGGGGAUAUUGCACAAUGGGGGAAACCCUGAUGCAGCGACGCCGCGUGAGGGAAGAAGGUACAGCGUAUCGUAAACCUCUUUUGUCAGGGAACAAAGGCGGGGACUAGUCCCCGGAUGAGGGUACCUGAAGAAAAAGCAUCGGCUAACUCCGUGCCAGCAGCCGCGGUAAUACGGAGGAUGCGAGCGUUAUCCGGAUUUAUUGGGUUUAAAGGGUGCGCAGGCGGCCUGUUAAGUCAGCGGUAAAAGCCCGGGGCUCAACCCCGGCGAGACGUUGAAACUGGCGGGG
This 305-nucleotide ribosomal RNA is filed under the name uncultured bacterium. RNAcentral's name for it is "bacterial SSU rRNA". It matches the Rfam family "Bacterial small subunit ribosomal RNA", at positions 338 to 641 of the family's 1533-position model. The record is from RNAcentral.